GUGUUUCCACUAGAACGAUUUCCUUUCCCCACACGGCAAUUCAGAUUUCCCCUUCUACGGACUUUUUUCCCCUCAAAAAUUAUUUUGCUGUAGUUUUGACACCACACGCCACACCUAAAAUUUAUAGUUUAUUUAUCGUUCUUCUUCUAUAGUCUAUUGUAUUAAUAUUAUUAUUUACACAAAAUUCGUCAACAAAAUCAUCGACAGUCGACUUUGCAGAUUACUACUAUUAUUUUGAUAUAGCUGCACAUCACUAGCUAUCAAUUUCCUUACUGUUGGUACUACUUGUUCUAUGGUGGUUGGUACGGUGAUCCAUUCAAAUAAAUAAUCACAGCUAGAAAUAUUUAUUGCGACGGUUGUUUAAUGUGAAAAGAAAUGGAUCGGUGGCUAAUAAAUACUGCUGCUAAAAAAUCGAAUGAAGAAAAGAUUCCUCUGAGCUCAUCCGAAAGACCCGGCACUAGUACAUGCUCUUAUGAACUUCAACCCGGAACGAGUUUUCAGUCCAUUAGUUAUGUCGAGGAUCAGAAAGAACAAUUAGAUCCUCAAACUUCGUCAGUAAUGGAAAUCGAAAAUGAAAAAUCGGUUGAUAACUGUACUGAAGACGAAGAAGAGGGAUACAAUACUGAAAAUGAAAAAAAGCAGUUCAAGCAGAUUGGUAGUUCAAAAUCUAUGGCAAAAGGUAGGAAAAAGAUAUUUAAGAAGAAGUUUCAGCAUGAUUGGCUUAAGCAACCUGAGUUCAAAGCAUGGUUAUUAAAUGGGAAUAAGGAUGAUAAUGCAAUUUGUAAGGUGUGCAAUGUGGUUAUGAAGGCGGGAAAAUCAGAGCUUAAAAAGCAUGGUGAUGGAAAAGCUCAUAAAAAAAAUAUGGAGGCGUGGCUACAGAGUAAUAUUAAUCAACCUAGUAUUACAACAUUCGUUACAGAAAAUACAAAGCUGAAAAAUACCGAAGCUGCCAUUUGUUCUUAUAUCGUCGAAAACAAUCUUCCUAUUUCAUCAAUUGAACCUUUAAUUGAAUUGAUUAAAUCUUUACCAGAGAAGGCAAUCACAUCGCAAAUCUCUUUAGCGAAACAAAAAGCCACUAAUGUCAUUAGGAAUGGAUUGCGCCCAUUUUUUAAUAAUAAACUUAUUAAUGAACUGAACAAUCAUUUGUUUUCCGUUUAUAUUGACGAAACAACUGAUGUAAGCGUCACAAAGCAACUAGCGAUACUAGUCAGCUACUGCCAUAAUUUUAUAACAAAAGUAGA
Long non-coding RNA from Ostrinia nubilalis (European corn borer), 1241 nucleotides. RefSeq lists it as uncharacterized. The transcript has 3 exons. NCBI's taxonomy places the organism in Eukaryota, Metazoa, Arthropoda, Insecta, Lepidoptera, Crambidae. The record is from RefSeq and is a predicted model, not a curated record.